AACGAACGCUGGCGGCGCGUCUUAAGCAUGCAAGUCGAACGGCAAGAGAGGAGCUUGCUUCUCUCCUAGAGUGGCGGACUGGUGAGGAACACGUGGGUAAUCUACCCUUAAGAUGGGGAUAGCUGCUAGAAAUAGCAGGUAAUACCGAAUACACUCGGCAUAUCACAAGAGGUGUUGAGGAAAGGAAGCUAUGGCUUCGCUUGAGGAUGAGCUUGCGUCCCAUUAGCUAGUUGGUGAGGUAAAGGCCCACCAAGGCGACGAUGGGUAUCCGGCCUGAGAGGGUGAACGGACACAUUGGGACUGAGAUACGGCCCAAACUCCUACGGGAGGCAGCAGCUAAGAAUAUUCCGCAAUGGACGGAAGUCUGACGGAGCGACGCCGCGUGGAUGAAGAAGGCUGAAAAGUUGUAAAAUCCUUUUGUUGAUGAAGAAUAAGGGUGAGAGGGAAUGCUCAUCUGAUGACGGUAAUCGACGAAUAAGCCCCGGCUAAUUACGUG
This 496-nucleotide ribosomal RNA is filed under the name uncultured bacterium. RNAcentral describes it as "partial 16S ribosomal RNA". It matches the Rfam family "Bacterial small subunit ribosomal RNA", at positions 29 to 507 of the family's 1533-position model. The record is from RNAcentral.